GCCCGGUUGGCACAAUUGGUCAGCGCGUGAGACUUUUAUGACAUCUCCCGGUUUCGGGAGUCAUAAUAGUGAUCUCAAGGUUACGAGUUCGAGCCUCGUAUCGGGCG
RNAcentral lists this transfer RNA (107 nucleotides) under Aspergillus japonicus CBS 114.51. Its description in RNAcentral is "tRNA-Lys". The record is from RNAcentral. RNAcentral also lists the same sequence under 1 other name. Lineage: Eukaryota; Fungi; Ascomycota; Eurotiomycetes; Eurotiales; Aspergillaceae.